GGCUGGUUUGAAUGCAGCGGUGUUUACAAAUAAUUAGUCACAACCAGUUACAGAUUUCUUUGUUCCUCUCCACGCACACUACUUCACUUGGCCAGACUUGA
Molecule: unclassified non-coding RNA, 101 nt
Organism: Cercocebus atys (sooty mangabey)
Lineage: Eukaryota; Metazoa; Chordata; Mammalia; Primates; Cercopithecidae
Rfam family: Y RNA
About the family: Y RNAs are components of the Ro ribonucleoprotein particle (Ro RNP), in association with Ro60 and La proteins. The Y RNAs and Ro60 and La proteins are well conserved, but the function of the Ro RNP is not known.
Source: Ensembl